Non-coding RNA from Etheostoma spectabile (orangethroat darter), 406 nucleotides. Lineage: Eukaryota; Metazoa; Chordata; Actinopteri; Perciformes; Percidae. The record is from the annotation of a RefSeq genome assembly.
UUCUAAACAGCAUUUCACCUCUGCAGAGAUGGAAAAACUCACUGCAAUUCUGUUCUGCUUCUCUCUCAUAGGUAACACGAUGGAAGAUGAGAUUACUGCCAGCAGUGCUGAAGUGUUUUCAUCAGAGGGCCGUAGUGCUACUCUGUCCUGUACCUAUUCAGUUAAAGCUGAUCAUCUCCAGUGGUAUCGACAGGAUCCUGGAUCAGCUCCUCAGUUCCUUCUCCUGAUCACUGAUACAAAACCACCUUCAGUAGUGGAAGCAAAACCUCCUCACCCUCGACUGACUGCUAUACUGAAUGAGGAGAGAAAUCAAGUUGAUCUGAAGAUCUCCUCAGCUAAGCUGUCUGACUCUGCUGUGUACUACUGUGCUCUGAGGCCCACAGUGACAGGAAAGAGUCAGCUGUGA